UUGGGGAAAACUUCACGUUCUUGCAGCAGUUGGCAACAUCUUUUGCUUAAUUCCUGCACUGUCAAGUCAGACUGACUUCCUUUUAGUUACAGCAUUUUACCCCCUUUAUUUCGUUGACAGACAAAACCUCUUUGCUUUCUUUUUUAAGACAGCCUUUUUCAUUUAGGAAUGGAAGGAGGGCAAUGUGUUUAUAUUGUUAAGGAAAAAACCGAGGAGGUGUUACUGAAGAUACAGAGCUGUGUGUGGAAGCUUUUUACAAGGAAGAAAUGGAACACCCACAUUACCAAGGACUUGUCCUGGGAACUGUGCUAAGAGCUGGUUAAUGGGAUAAUGCUGAAAACAAUGAACCUGCAAAUUUGGCCACAUCUGUCUACUGGAUUUUCUCAAACUCUGAACAAGCAGUAGGAGGGACUUCUAGUUUCACCCCUUAUCUUGGCUCUUUUGACCUACACCUUUGAGGGAUCUGGCUCAGAACAGAAAGGAUGACUGCCAGACAGAUACCGGAGAGGAGGAGGAGAGCAGCGAUGGCUUGUAUCAUAACAGUAGCUUGAAUUUAUAGUACAGUGUUUGGCAACUCAUAAAAUUCUUUCACGUACAUAAUCUAAUAUCUUAAAAUCCCAGAACUUGAGCUGCAAAGGAACCUUGGGUAUCAUUUAAUCCAAAGUUUCUGAACUUCAUUCCCUACUGCCAUUUUGGGUGUGAUAAUUCUUUGUUUUGGGGGGCUGUCCUGUGCACUGUAGGAUGUUUCAUAGCAUCUCUGCCCUCUACCCUCUACAUGCCCACACCCCCUCCAUGCGUGACAACCGAAACUGUCUCCUGGGGGGCAGAAUUGCUCCCUGUUGAGAAUUACUGAUCGAGUCUAUCUUGGAGUUUUAAACAGAUUAUACACUUACCCAUGGGAGGUACUAAUUAAAUAGUAGCACCUCCACACCCAGCAUGGCCUUGAUGUCUUGAUCUGGCUCUUCCUGUCAAGGCUGUCAAGACUGAGAACUGCGCAACAUUUUUCAAAGGUCCAAGGUAGUGUUUUUUUGUUACCAAACUACUCAUUUAAUUUGGUGGAAAACCUAUCAAUUUUAUUUUUCAACACAAAGAACUACCACCAUAAAGCUCUAUCACACUGAUUCUGUCGUCAAACUGAUUUGUCAUCCAGCAAACUGACAGGCCUGGGUCACACAAAUACCACUUUUGCAGUCAGGCUAAGGAUCUGCCAAGCUAUAGAAAUGCCUCAUUAAAUUCAGACCCCUCUGCUUCGUGGACAUGUGAAAACCGCUGACAAUCCGGUUUUUAAGACUUAGACCUUUCUCUGGUGUCACUGCUCGUUUCUAAUUAUGUAGAAAGCUUCACUGAAGAUUCAGAGUUGUGGGCUUCCCUGGUGGCGCAGUGGUUGAGAGUCCGCCCGCCGACGCAGGGGACGCGGGUUCGUGCCCCGGUCCGGGAAGAUCCCACAUGCCGCGGAGCGGCUGGGCCCGUGAGCCAUGGCCGCUGAGCCUGUGCUCCGCAACGGGAGAGGCCACAACAGUGAGAGUCCCGCGUACCAAAAAAAAAAAAAGAUUCAGAGUUGUGGGCUGCCCUGGUGGCGCAGUGGUUAAGAAUCCACCUGCCAAUGCAGGGGACACGGGUUUGAGCCCAGGUCCGGGAGGAUCCCACAUGCCGCGGAGCAACUAAGCCCGUGUGCCACAACUACUGAGCCCACGUGCCACAACUACUGAAGCCCGCGUGCCUAGAGCCCGUGUUCUGCAGUAAGAGAAGACACUGCAAUGAGGAACCUGCGCACCACAACGAAGAGCAGCCCCCGCUCGCUGCAACUAGAGAAAGCCCACGCACAGCAACGAAGACCCAACCUGGCCAAAAAUAAAUAAAUUAAAAAAAAAAAAAGAUUCAGAGUUGUUUUUUUUAAAGACACACUAUGAACAAUCACUGUAAAUGUGCUCCUGGAACACAGUCAAUUUACUGAUACUAAAAUCAACCUCUGUACCCCUUAGGCAGAAGGCAAUGAACUGAUGAAAUAGAUGAUCAAACAAUAUUUGUGUAUGUGUUCAUUCAUUCAAUCAAACACUUGCUGAUUGAAGUGACUGAACACUUGCUGUAUGCCAGGCCAUGCUAGGUGCUUGGCGAUACAGUGGUGACUACUGCACAGUCCUUAGGGUUCCUAGUCUAGCAAGGGUGGACAAAGAAGGAGGGAGAGGAGGGAGAGCAGAGCAAACAUCCUGAGCAAAGAUGGGCAGCCACUUAAGAUUUAACCCUAGGAGGACACAUAUGUUCUUUCAAUUAACAUUUUAUUGAGUGCCAAAGGUAUGACAGUGCCUUCAUAAAGUAUACAAGCAACAAUGAACCAUGGGUCAAAACAGAACCCAAGGAGUGACCCAGCUAUAACAGGUGGACAAGGACUGAAAAUCUGCGCAUCUGGUUUAAUUACAUUUAGAGACAGAUGGAAAUUCUGCAAGGUGAAGCUCCCCUUAUCCUCCUACACUUAAAGUUACAUUAUCAUAUAUCGCAUUACUGCGAACAUAAUACCCGAUGAUGUCGUAGUGGAAUGAAUUAAUUAAAAUCAUGAAAAUCAAAAUCAAUUUUACUGAGCAUCUUUAUAAGCCAAACACUCUGCUGACUGCCAUCAUUUAGCACAGUGAGAUGAUUUCAGGCAUGUCUAGCAUUUCUGGAAAUGUGGCUGGAGAGUGUAUUUUACUUACAUGCUACGAAGAGGGUGGCAUAAAAGACAAUAGAUGACUUAAAUGCAAUCCUCCCUGGAGGGAAGGAGAUGGGCCACAAAUAAUCAAAGAAUUUCCGUAACGUAUGGUUUAAAAACUCUUGAGUUAAUGAUAGCUACGAUUUUUGAGCAAUUAUUAUGUGCAUAAGUCACCUUAAGGAAGUUAUUUGAUUUUUUGUGACAUCCCUAUGAGAUGAAGUUUAAAAUGCAGGCUCUAGAGCAGGGGAUCAGCAAACUACAGCCAGAGAGCCAAAUUCAACCCUGUGGCUGUUCUUAUAAAGUUUUGUUGGAAUGUAGCCAUGCCCAUUUGUUUACAUAUUGUUUACAGCUGCUUUCAUGCUACAAUGGCAGAGUUGAACUGCUGCAGCAGAGACUAGUGUGGUCCACGAAACCUAAAAUAUUUACUGUCUGGCGCUUUAUAGAAGAAAACCUGGUCUAGGGUCAGAUUUCCUGGGUUUGAGCCCUAGUUCUUUAACUAUGGAGCUGUAUGACAUUGGUUAAGUUAUUUAAAGUCUUCGUUCCGCACCACCCUCAUCUGCAAAAUGAAACUGGUGGUAAUAAUAAUCACUAUUUCAGGGCGUCACUGUGAGGAAUAAAUUACACAAUAUAUACCAAGUGCUUAGAACAAAACCAAGUAUAUACUAAGGGUUUGAUAAAUGUUGGCUAUUAUUGCCUCCUUUUUAAAGAUCAGGAGCUCGAGGCUCAGAGCAAUCAAAUAACUUACCCAAGACCACUCAGAAUUGAAAUUUAGCUGAUGACAAAGUCCAAGCUCUUUCUACCAUGGUACUCUGCCUUUGCUAUUUUCUUAGUAAUAGGAGAGUUAGGGAUAGCCAGUGUUAACAGAAUAAAAACAAUAUCAAGGAGAGAUGGACAUUGGUUAACAGAGUUGAAGGGAAACUCAAGCACAGAUCCACAGCAAAAUUGUUGGAAAACCAUUCCUUUCUACCAAAUGCCUCACUGCACCUCCCACCCUCCCCACUCCUCUUCAGAGAGUUCUACAAACUGUUCCAUAGCCUAUUUCUGGCCCUUUAUAAAGUAGUUAAUAGGUUCAAAUGAUAAUUUUUAGACUUAAAACAAUCUAUUGAAUUAAAUUCUUAAAUGGAAAUGUUUAGGGACUAGAAUUCACAUAAUCCAAAUGUUUUAAGUGAGAAUAUGGGACCACGAUGUGGCAGUGGGAUGGGCUUACCCAACCCAGGCUCUGGAAUCAGACUGCCUGGCUUAUACCCUGGCUCCACCGCUUGAGAAACAAGUGUCAUCACACCAGUCACUUUAAUCUUUGUGCGCCUCAGUUGCACCAUCUAUAAAAUGGUAAUAAUAUACCUCACGCUGUUGUGAAGAUUAAAUGAUAAUGCAUAUACAGCACUUAGAAAAGUACUGGGCUAUAUUAAAUGCUCAAAUUGACUACAUUUUAUAUUUUCAUAUCCUAUAUAAUUUUUAAAUUAUUAUUAUUUCAGUUGGGCAAAAUAGCAGACGUUUUUCAAGGAUGUUCUCUUGGGAGAGAACUAUAUAGCCACAGCUUAGAAUCACGAAUUGUCUGCUUGACAAUUUAAUUUUAAAAGCUAAAGAAUCUGAGGGAAUUUACUCCCAGAGUUUUGUGGAUAAACUGGAAGGGAACUUCUAUAGCUAUUAUGUUCUAUAUUUAUAUAGGAAAAUGCUUUAAGACAUUGUAAAUGUGAAAUGUUAUAAUGAUGCAUUUUUAAAGCUAAUGAUUAUGCAAAAAGCAAGCACUAUGUUCUUUUUGAUAUUUGUUCAAUUGUCCCUUAUAUUCUUUUUAUCACUACUUAGUAUACCUACACUAAUGCUUUGUGUCUACCCAUUGAAUGUAGCAGUAAAUAUUGUUUAUUAACUAUGAUAUAUUCAAAUUACCACUGCAAGUUUAAGAAAGUUACCUGGGAAUAAUAUUCACAGAAAAACUUUAUGUGCCAGCAUUGGAAUAUAUGAACCGGUAGUUUGAUGAAUGGUUAUUUUUAUUAUAAAAAUAUUCUUUAAUUUGCAAAGGGAUUUAUAAUAGAGUUCCUUUAGAUAGGAAGUCCCCUAUGUCAUCUAGAAUAUGAUUCAAGUUAUUACAAAAUCGAUCUCUCUCUCUAUAUAUAUAUCUUUCCUGUAUAUACCUUCCCUAUACUGAUAUAUACCUACAAACUAUGCCAAAGUAUCAGUCCCAUUUGCUUGAUGGAGAAACUGGAUGAUCAUGUGCUUAAGCUCAAGAUCACAAUUACACAGUGAUAAAAUUGGAAUUAUAAUUUAAUAAAGGAACCUUAUCUUUGGGAUGAUAGUCUCUAGUUUAACUUCUGUUUGACAAUAGAGUCCAUUUAUAUUCAAGACAAAAUCUGGGCAGUCCAAAUAGAGUAGAGAUCCAGAUAUCUAUAGCUUUUUAAAAAUUCUAAAAUUUGUGUGUAAAGAAUAUUUUUCAUUUUGCUUAGUUUCUUGAAUUUAUGCCAAAACAGAUUUAGAAAGUGAACUUUCCCAAACAUAAGCUUACACAGUCUUUAUGAUGAUGUGUAAAUGCUCUUCCUUUCCUCCAAUUUCAAACUAUAUUUGCAAGUUAUAUAGUAAUAAUAUGGUCUAUUAUUACUCUGCCAUAUUAUACAUGAGUACAUGCUCUAUGGGAUAUGUUCUUAUAUUACCUUCUGGUGGUAUGUCAAAUAGUAGUCUAUAAGAAUAUCAUAGGUCUCUUUGUAAGAAAAAUGACAAAUUGUUCUGAAACAAAGACUCUGAAAUAGAGUGACAUAGUCAAACAUUAGCUUCAGUUUUAGGUGUGACCUUCUGAUUUUGUUUGGUUAACAUUAGUCAUUUCAGUUCUGACUAUGAAAAAAUAUCUGCUACCACAGAAAAAAACCAGAUCCUGUUUAAUGUUGAUGUCCUUGUAUUUCAUUGCCAAGUAUCCCAAGGCAAUAGUUACAGUGAAAUAGCAUUUGGCCAGAAAUACUCUCAAUGCUGAAUAAGCCAUGGGUUACUUUCUUCUACAAAUGUUUAAGUUGAAUGCGGGUUAUUUUUGAAAUUAAAAAUAUUUUUAAAUACCACAACAAUACGACUAUAAUAGGCUCUUUGUGAGAAAAAAAAUAUAAAAGAAAGUAAACUUUAUAGUGGGAGGCAAAGACGAUAUGCAUGAAAAUGCAACUUUAAACUAACCCCCAAAUUAUAUUUUUUUAUUCAUUAAAUGUUUAAAUAUUACUCUCCCUUUACUACCUUUGGUCUUCCUCUGGUGAUAUUUGGUUUAUUAUUAUUUUGCAUACAGUGAGAAACGAAAAUGAUAGUUUAAAGAACAGGUCCUUCUAGCAAAAGUAUGGCUAAAGUUAAACCCUAAUACUCAGUAGCUUAAUUCUUAUUAUAAAAACUUGGACUCUAUUAGAAAUGGGGCCAUCGGAGAGAGGUCCCUUUAUAACAGAAAAAGUCAAAUUCACUUUCUAUUAUGAAGUGAUUUUAGACAUUUUAGGCUAUUUCCACUUUCUUCUACACUGUUUGAAAUGUAUUAGAAAAAUUAAAAGAAUAUGGUUUAUCUCAUUAGGUAUAAUUGAAGCUUUUCAAAGGCAGGGACCUUUAUUUUGGUAUCCCCAGUGCCUAGCACUGAAUGAAAAAAUAUUUCAAUAAAGGAAAAAAUUAAUGAAAGAACCAGUGAAUGAGCACUGCCUUUUAUAAGAAACAUGGUA
This is a long non-coding RNA of Orcinus orca (killer whale), 6351 nucleotides long. RefSeq lists it as uncharacterized. NCBI's taxonomy places the organism in Eukaryota, Metazoa, Chordata, Mammalia, Artiodactyla, Delphinidae. The record is from RefSeq and is a predicted model, not a curated record. The transcript has 3 exons.